Non-coding RNA from Podarcis lilfordi (Lilford's wall lizard), 74 nucleotides. NCBI's taxonomy places the organism in Eukaryota, Metazoa, Chordata, Lepidosauria, Squamata, Lacertidae. The record is from the annotation of a GenBank genome assembly.
GCCAUAGGUAGCUCAGUUGGUAGAGCAUUGGACUCUUAAUCUCCAGGUCGUGGGUUCGAGCCCCACCUUGGGCA